This 56-nucleotide ribosomal RNA is filed under the name Penicillium chrysogenum. Its description in RNAcentral is "partial 28S ribosomal RNA". The record is from RNAcentral. Lineage: Eukaryota; Fungi; Ascomycota; Eurotiomycetes; Eurotiales; Aspergillaceae. RNAcentral also lists the same sequence under 10 other names.
GGUUGACCUCGGAUCAGGUAGGGAUACCCGCUGAACUUAAGCAUAUCAAUAAGCGG